RNAcentral lists this ribosomal RNA (850 nucleotides) under uncultured bacterium. RNAcentral's name for it is "bacterial SSU rRNA". It matches the Rfam family "Bacterial small subunit ribosomal RNA", at positions 60 to 952 of the family's 1533-position model. The record is from RNAcentral.
AGUCGACGGAUCCUUCGGGAUUUAGUGGCGGACGGGUGAGUAACACGUAAGAACCUGCCUCUAGGACGGGGACAACAGUUGGAAACGACUGCUAAACCCGGAUGAGCCGAAAGGUAAAAGAUUUAUCGCCUAGAGAGGGGCUUGCGUCUGAUUAGCUAGUUGGUAAGGUAAGAGCUUACCAAGGCGACGAUCAGUAGCUGGUCUGAGAGGAUGAUCAGCCACACUGGGACUGAGACACGGCCCAGACUCCUACGGGAGGCAGCAGUGGGGAAUUUUCCGCAAUGGGCGAAAGCCUGACGGAGCAAGACCGCGUGGGGGAGGAAGGUUCUUGGAUUGUCAACCCCUUUUCUCAGGGAAGAACUCAAUGACGGUACCUGAGGAAAAAGCAUCGGCUAACUCCGUGCCAGCAGCCGCGGUAAUACGGGGGAUGCAAGCGUUAUCCGGAAUGAUUGGGCGUAAAGAGUCCGUAGGUAGCCAAUCAAGUCUGCUGUUAAAGAGCGAGGCUUAACUUCGUAAAGGCAGUGGAAACUGGAAGGCUAGAGUGUAGUAGGGGCAGAGGGAAUUCCUGGUGUAGCGGUGAAAUGCGUAGAGAUCAGGAAGAACACCGGUGGCGAAGGCGCUCUGCUGGGCUAUAACUGACACUGAGGGACGAAAGCUAGGGGAGCGAAUGGGAUUAGAUACCCCAGUAGUCCUAGCGGUAAACGAUGGAAACUAGUGUGGGCCUGUAUCGACCCGGGCCGUGCCGAAGCUAACGCGUUAAGUUUCCCGCCUGGGGAGUACGCACGCAAGUGUGAAACUCAAAGGAAUUGACGGGGGCCCGCACAAGCGGUGGAAGUAUGUGGUUUAAUUC